Molecule: ribosomal RNA, 374 nt
Filed under: uncultured bacterium
Lineage: Bacteria
Description: bacterial SSU rRNA
Rfam family: Bacterial small subunit ribosomal RNA
Source: RNAcentral
UACGAAGGGGGCUAGCGUUGCUCGGAAUCACUGGGCGUAAAGCACGCGUAGGCGGAUCGUUAAGUCAGGGGUGAAAUCCUGAGGCUCAACCUCAGAAUUGCCCUUGAUACUGGCGGUCUUGAGACCGGAAGAGGUAAGUGGAAUUGCGAGUGUAGAGGUGAAAUUCGUAGAUAUUCGCAAGAACACCAGUGGCGAAGGCGACUUACUGGUCCGGUUCUGACGCUGAGGCGUGAAAGCGUGGGGAGCAAACAGGAUUAGAUACCCUGGUAGUCCACGCCGUAAACUAUGGAUGCUAGCCGUUGGGAAGCUUGCUUUUCAGUGGCGCAGUUAACACUUUAAGCAUCCCGCCUGGGGAGUACGGUCGCAAGAUUAAA